GGGCCUAUGGUCUAGUGGCUAUGACUACUCGCUUACACCGAGUCGAUCCCCGGUUCGAGAAAGUCACUGUGUUCGUUCA
Molecule: transfer RNA, 79 nt
Filed under: Candidatus Woesearchaeota archaeon CG10_big_fil_rev_8_21_14_0_10_36_11
Lineage: Archaea; Nanobdellati; Candidatus Woesearchaeota
Description: tRNA-Val
Source: RNAcentral